This 468-nucleotide ribosomal RNA is filed under the name uncultured bacterium. Its description in RNAcentral is "partial 16S ribosomal RNA". It matches the Rfam family "Bacterial small subunit ribosomal RNA", at positions 28 to 507 of the family's 1533-position model. The record is from RNAcentral.
GACGAACACUGGCGGCGUGCUUAACACAUGCAAGUCGAACGGAAAGGCCCUGCUUUUGUGGGGUGCUCGAGUGGCGAACGGGUGAGUAACACGUGAGUAACCUGCCCUUGACUUUGGGAUAACUUCAGGAAACUGGGGCUAAUACCGGAUAGGAGCUCCUGCUGCAUGGUGGGGGUUGGAAAGUUUCGGCGGUUGGGGAUGGACUCGCGGCUUAUCAGCUUGUUGGUGGGGUAGUGGCUUACCAAGGCUUUGACGGGUAGCCGGCCUGAGAGGGUGACCGGCCACAUUGGGACUGAGAUACGGCCCAGACUCCUACGGGAGGCAGCAGUGGGGAAUAUUGCACAAUGGGCGGAAGCCUGAUGCAGCAACGCCGCGUGCGGGAUGACGGCCUUCGGGUUGUAAACCGCUUUCGCCUGCGACGAAGCGUGAGUGACGGUAAUGGGUAAAGAAGCACCGGCUAACUACGUG